This 240-nucleotide ribosomal RNA is filed under the name uncultured bacterium. RNAcentral's name for it is "partial 16S ribosomal RNA". It matches the Rfam family "Bacterial small subunit ribosomal RNA", at positions 15 to 280 of the family's 1533-position model. The record is from RNAcentral.
GAUCAUGGCUCAGAGCGAACGCUGGCGGCAGGCUUAACACAUGCAAGUCGAGCGGGCAUCCUUGUGGUGUCAGCGGCAGACGGGUGAGUAACGCGUGGGAACGUGCCCUUCGGUUCGGAAUAACUCAGGGAAACUUGAGCUAAUACCGGAUACGCCCUUCUGGGGAAAGGCUUGCUGCCGAAGGAUCGGCCCGCGUCUGAUUAGCUGGUUGGUGAGGUUACGGCUCACCAAGGCGACGAU